Molecule: ribosomal RNA, 229 nt
Filed under: uncultured bacterium
Lineage: Bacteria
Description: partial 16S ribosomal RNA
Rfam family: Bacterial small subunit ribosomal RNA
Source: RNAcentral
UGCGUAGGCGGCGGCAUAAGUCAGAAGUGAAAGUUGGCAGCUUAACUGCAAAAUUGCUUUUGAUACUGUGUUGCUUGAAUCACGUUGAGGCUGGCGGAAUGUGGCAUGUAGCGGUGAAAUGCUUAGAUAUGCCAUAGAACACCAAUUGCGAAGGCAGCUGGCUAGACGUGUAUUGACGCUGAGGCACGAAAGCGUGGGGAGCGAACAGGAUUAGAUACCCUGGUAGUCC